GUUGUGUUUUUUUUUAUCAGCAGCUCUGAACAGGCUAAAGUGAGGAUUCUCUCAGCUGUCUCUUGAGACCUUGUGUUCUCUGUCUGGGAACAAAUGAGGAUCCUGCAGAGAGGGAUGUGGAAAGAGAGACUCCUAUGUGCAUGCACACCCCAGUGAACCCCAGAUCAGUUCCUCUCUGAGCAUGUCUAUGUACAUUUGGAGCAGGUACCCACUUCAAAUGAAUCCCCUUACAAAUGAACCUGGAUUUAGGAGAGCUCUGUGGUCUUGAGAUGUUCAGACAGUAUGAGACUUUGACUCCCGAUGAUAACAGACCUGCACCGCGGAAGCGGAAAGCUAGGAAGAUCCCCUUUCAGUGGCUGAAUAUCAUUUUAUUCUUAUUGGCAUAAUGCAGAGGGCCCAUCUGAGCUCUGGACACCACAGUACAAAGCACUGUACAUUUGAGGAAUGAGAGACAGUGCCUGCUUGAAGAUCUGACAGUCUGAAUAGCCAAAGGCAGUCGCCUCGGGGCCCAUUGCAGAUUGGGAACUGAGGCACAGUGAGUGACCAUCCCACAUGAACGUGCAGGGGUCCAGACGUGGGUCUCCACUGCCUGUCUGUACUGUGUGUGCUUUUGAUUCAUGACAGCUGUUUAGAAACCGGGGACUGUUUGACUUUGACCUCCUGGCUCUGAAGCGGGGAAGGAGAAAGGGAUGCAAAUUCCUAAGAAGCCCAACUUGGUCCAUUAAGCCUUGUGUCUGAGCUGUAAAAAUCCUGUGCAAAUUUUCUCUGUGUGUGCUUGCAGCUGUAGCUGUCUGCCAGUUCUUACAGCAGCCUCAGCUCUGGAAUAGAAAAUGCCCUUGCUGGGGGAAGUGUUCACACUGAGUGAGGAAUGAAAUAAACCUUUCUUCCAGCCAGGAGAGCUGAGCUCCCUUUGGCUGGCUGGUGGCCAGUCCAGCGAUGGGGUGAGGAGGCCAGUUCCACUGAUCUGGGCAACUUUACCCCUGUGCAACAGCAGACUUGUGCUUACAGAAGACCUGGGUGCUGUGCUGUGCCCCAAGGUGAAUCUCUGUACAUUUGUGGCAGAUUCAGUGCUACUGGCAUAUGUCAUGCCUCCCAAGGUGUGCAGGGGGACCCAUCAAUGCCAAGGCUAAAGCAUGUUGCUUUUUAACUCUCCAACAUCUA
Molecule: long non-coding RNA, 1161 nt
Organism: Alligator sinensis (Chinese alligator)
Lineage: Eukaryota; Metazoa; Chordata; Crocodylia; Alligatoridae
Exons: 3
Source: RefSeq, a predicted model, not a curated record